AACGAACGCUGGCGGCGUGCCUAACACGUGCAAGUCGAACGUGAUUAGAGAGCUUGCUCUCUAUGAAGGUGGCGCACGGGUGAGUAACGCGUAGAUAAUCUACCUGAUGAUUCGGGAUAACACUUCGAAAGGGGUGCUAAUACCGAAUAAGCCCACGGAGUCCUUGGACUCUGCGGGAAAAGGGGGGGACCUUCGGGCCUUCCGUCAUCAGAUGAGUCUGCGUACCAUUAGCUAGUUGGUAGGGUAAAGGCCUACCAAGGCGACGAUGGUUAGCUGGUCUGAGAGGAUGAUCAGCCACACUGGAACUGAGACACGGUCCAGACUCCUACGGGAGGCAGCAGUGGGGAAUUUUGCGCAAUGGGGGAAACCCUGACGCAGCAACGCCGCGUGAGUGAUGAAGGCCCUUGGGUCGUAAAGCUCUGACAGAGGGAAAGAAAUGCAGGGGAGCUAAUAUCUCCCUUGCUUGACGGUACCCUCAAAGGAAGCACCGGCUAACUCCGUGCCAGCAGCCGCCGUAA
RNAcentral lists this ribosomal RNA (518 nucleotides) under uncultured bacterium. Its description in RNAcentral is "partial 16S ribosomal RNA". It matches the Rfam family "Bacterial small subunit ribosomal RNA", at positions 29 to 523 of the family's 1533-position model. The record is from RNAcentral.